Pelobates cultripes (western spadefoot toad) is the source of this 267-nucleotide non-coding RNA. NCBI's taxonomy places the organism in Eukaryota, Metazoa, Chordata, Amphibia, Anura, Pelobatidae. The record is from the annotation of a GenBank genome assembly.
AUGAAGGCUGACAUGGACUCUCACCAGGCUGACACGGGGUUAACAUGGGGUGGUCAUUUCAUUUUGUUUUAAGCAUUAUUAAGCAUCUCAAGCACUGAAGCACGAUUUUACUGUUGACACUGCUUUUCUGUUUUAAGCUUAUGUCUCUAUCAAGCACUAAAAGCUCAAUUACUCUACUGUUCCUCAACAUGUAACCCACGUACAUUACUAUAAGCCUAUGUGUACCCAACUAUGUUAUUAUAAUGUCUUACCAUGCGUGUUCAUUAU